This 236-nucleotide ribosomal RNA is filed under the name uncultured Pseudanabaena sp. Its description in RNAcentral is "partial 16S ribosomal RNA". It matches the Rfam family "Bacterial small subunit ribosomal RNA", at positions 534 to 750 of the family's 1533-position model. The record is from RNAcentral. Lineage: Bacteria; Bacillati; Cyanobacteriota; Cyanophyceae; Pseudanabaenales; Pseudanabaenaceae.
AGUCGCGUUAUCCGGAAUGAUUGGGCGUAAAGCGUCCGCAGGUGGCAGUUCAAGUCUGCUGUCAAAGACCGGGGCUCAACCUCGGAAUAUCGAUAGGCAGUGGAAACUGAACAGCUAGACGCGUAUGGUAGGGGCAAAGGGAAUUCCUCGGGUGUAGCGGUGAAAUGCGUAGAGAUCAGUAGCGGAAGAACAUCGGUGGCGAAGGCGCUUUGCCGUGGACCAUAACUGACACUCAG